GAUGAACGCUGGCGGCGUGCCUAAUACAUGCAAGUAGAACGCUGAAGGAGGAGCUUGCUCUUCUGGAUGAGUUGCGAACGGGUGAGUAACGCGUAGGUAACCUGCCUGGUAGCGGGGGAUAACUAUUGGAAACGAUAGCUAAUACCGCAUGACAACAGUUAUUGCAUGAUAACUGUUUAAAAGGGGCAACUGCUCCACUACCAGAUGGACCUGCGUUGUAUUAGCUAGUUGGUGAGGUAACGGCUCACCAAGGCGACGAUACAUAGCCGACCUGAGAGGGGGAUCGGCCACACUGGGACUGAGACACGGCCCAGACUCCUACGGGAGGCAGCAGUAGGGAAGCUUCGGCAAUGGACGGAAGUCUGACCGAGCAACGCCGCGUGAGUGAAGAAGGUUUUCGGAUCGUAAAGCUCUGUUGUAAGAGAAGAACGAGUGUGAGAGUGGAAAGUUCACACUGUGACGGUAUCUUACCAGAAAGGGACGGCUAACUACGUG
RNAcentral lists this ribosomal RNA (495 nucleotides) under uncultured bacterium. RNAcentral's name for it is "partial 16S ribosomal RNA". It matches the Rfam family "Bacterial small subunit ribosomal RNA", at positions 28 to 507 of the family's 1533-position model. The record is from RNAcentral.